ACUCCUACGGGAGGCAGCAGUGGGGAAUCUUGGACAAUGGGCGCAAGCCUGAUCCAGCCAUGCCGCGUGAGUGAUGAAGGCCUUAGGGUCGUAAAAGCUCUUUCGCCAGGGAUGAUAAUGACAGUACCUGGUAAAGAAACCCCGGCUAACUCCGUGCCAGCAGCCGCGGUAAUACGGAGGGGGUUAGCGUUGUUCGGAAUUACUGGGGCGUAAAGCGCGCGUAGGCGGAUCGGAAAGUUGGGGGUGAAAUCCCGGGGGCUCAACCCCGGAACUGCCUCCAAAACUAUCGGUCUAGAGUUCGAGAGAGGUGAGUGGAAUUCCGAGUGUAGAGGUGAAAUUCGUAGAUAUUCGGAGGAACACCAGUGGCGAAGGCGGCUCACUGGCUCGAUACUGACGCUGAGGUGCGAAAGUGU
This 413-nucleotide ribosomal RNA is filed under the name uncultured bacterium. RNAcentral's name for it is "bacterial SSU rRNA". It matches the Rfam family "Bacterial small subunit ribosomal RNA", at positions 335 to 762 of the family's 1533-position model. The record is from RNAcentral.